CUGGGUUCAAAACGUCGUGAGACAGUUUGGUCCCUAUCUUCCGUGGGCGCUGCAGAUUUGAGAAAGCCUGCUCCUAGUACGAGAGGACCGGAGUGGACGCACCGCUGGUGUACCUGUUGUCACGCCCGUGGCAUCGCAGGGUAGCUAAGUGCGGAAGAGAUAACCGCUGAAAGCAUCUAAGCGGGAAACUCGUUUCAAGAUGAGAUCUGCCGGGGCCUUGAGCCCCCUAAAGAGUCGUUCUAGACCAGGACGUUGAUAGGCUGGGUGUGGAAGUGCAGUAAUGCAUUAAGCUAACCAGUACUAAUUGCUCGUGCGGCUUGACCCUAUAA
Molecule: ribosomal RNA, 329 nt
Filed under: Salmonella enterica subsp. enterica serovar Cerro
Lineage: Bacteria; Pseudomonadati; Pseudomonadota; Gammaproteobacteria; Enterobacterales; Enterobacteriaceae
Description: partial 23S ribosomal RNA
Rfam family: Bacterial large subunit ribosomal RNA
Source: RNAcentral